UUGGAGGGCAAGUCUGGUGCCAGCAGCCGCGGUAAUUCCAGCUCCAAUAGCGUAUAUUAAAGUUGUUGCAGUUAAAAAGCUCGUAGUUGAAUUUCGGGGUCAGUAGGUUGGUCAUGCCACUGGUAUGUACUGGUCUCACUGAUUCCUCCUUCCUGAUGAGCCGUAAUGCCAUUAAUUUGGUGUUGCGAGGAAUCUGGACUGUUACUUUGAAAAAAUUAGAGUGUUUAAAGCAGGCUAACGCUUGAAUACAUUAGCAUGGAAUAAUGAAAUAGGACGUUCGAUCUUAUUUUGUUGGUUUCUAAGAUUGACGUAAUGAUUAAUAGGGAUAGUUGGGGGCAUUAGUAUUCAAUUGUCAGAGGUGAAAUUCUUGGAUUUAUUGAAGACUAACUACUGCGAAAGCAUUUGCCAAGGAUGUUUUCAUUAAUCAAGAACGAAAGUUAGGGGAUCGAAGACGAUCAGAUACCGUCGUAGUCUUAACCAUAAACUAUGCCGACUAGGGAUCGGAUGAUGUUAAUUUUUUAAUGACUCAUUCGGCGCCUUACGGGAAACCAAAGUGUUUGGGUUC
Molecule: ribosomal RNA, 565 nt
Filed under: Rhizophagus sp. (in: glomeromycetes)
Lineage: Eukaryota; Fungi; Glomeromycota; Glomeromycetes; Glomerales; Glomeraceae
Also listed under: 1 other name
Description: SSU rRNA
Rfam family: Eukaryotic small subunit ribosomal RNA
Source: RNAcentral